This 254-nucleotide ribosomal RNA is filed under the name uncultured bacterium. RNAcentral describes it as "partial 16S ribosomal RNA". It matches the Rfam family "Bacterial small subunit ribosomal RNA", at positions 524 to 777 of the family's 1533-position model. The record is from RNAcentral.
UACAGAGGUCCCAAGCGUUGUUCGGAUUCACUGGGCGUAAAGGGUGCGUAGGCGGUGAGGUAAGUUUGACGUGAAAUCUCCGGGCUCAACCCGGAAACUGCGUUGAAUACUAUCUCGCUAGAGGAAUGGAGGGGAGACUGGAAUACUUGGUGUAGCAGUGAAAUGCGUAGAUAUCAAGUGGAACACCAGUGGCGGAAGGCGAGUCUCUGGACAUUUCCUGACGUGAGGCACGAAAGCCAGGGGAGCAAACGGGG